ACUCAAAGGAAUAGACGGGGGCUCACACAAGCGGUGGAGCAUGUGGCUCAAUUCGAAGCAACGCGAAGAACCUUAUCCUGGACUUGACAUGGUUGAAGUACGACGUGGAAACACAUAGGACCGGUAUCCAAUCCGGAACAAUCACAGGUGCUGCAUGGCUGUCGUCAGCUCGUGCUGUGAAGUGUCGGGUUAAGUCCCAUAACGAGCGAAACCCCUAUCGUUAGUUGCCAGCGAGUAAAGUCGGGCACUCUAACGAGACUGCCGGUGUUAAACCGGAGGAAGGCGGGGAUGACGUCAAGUCCUCAUGGCCUUUAUGUCCAGGGCUGCACACGUGCUACAAUGCCGAUGACAAACCGAUGCAAGACCGCAAGGUGGAGCAAAUCGGAGAAAAAUCGGCCCAGUUCAGAUUGAGGGCUGCAACUCGCCCUCAUGAAGUUGGAAUCGCUAGUAAUCGCGGAUCAGCUAUGCCGCGGUGAAUGUGUUCCUGAGCCUUGUACACACCGCCCGU
Molecule: ribosomal RNA, 508 nt
Filed under: uncultured bacterium
Lineage: Bacteria
Description: bacterial SSU rRNA
Rfam family: Bacterial small subunit ribosomal RNA
Source: RNAcentral